This is a non-coding RNA of Acanthosepion pharaonis, 109 nucleotides long. The record is from the annotation of a GenBank genome assembly. Lineage: Eukaryota; Metazoa; Mollusca; Cephalopoda; Sepiida; Sepiidae.
UUACGGCUAUAUCACGGUGAAACACCAGUUUCUAUAUGAUCACCAAAGUUAAGCAAUGUCGAGCCUGGUCACUACCUGGUGACCACUUGAGAAUACCAGGUGCUGUAAG